RNAcentral lists this ribosomal RNA (467 nucleotides) under uncultured bacterium. RNAcentral's name for it is "partial 16S ribosomal RNA". It matches the Rfam family "Bacterial small subunit ribosomal RNA", at positions 29 to 507 of the family's 1533-position model. The record is from RNAcentral.
ACGAACGCUGGCGGCGUGCUUAACACAUGCAAGUCGAACGGAAAGGCCCUGCUUUUGUGGGGUGCUCGCGUGGCGAACGGGUGAGUAACACGUGAGUAACCUGCCCUUGACUUUGGGAUAACUUCAUGAAACUGGGGCUAAUACCGGAUAGGAGCUCCUGCUGCAUGGUGGGGGUUGGAAAGUUUCGGCGGUUGGGGAUGGACUCGCGGCUUAUCAGCUUGUUGGUGGGGUAGUGGCUUACCAAGGCUUUGACGGGUAGCCGGCCUGAGAGGGUGACCGGCCACAUUGGGACUGAGAUACGGCCCAGACUCCUACGGGAGGCAGCAGUGGGGAAUAUUGCACAAUGGGCGGAAGCCUGAUGCAGCAACGCCGCGUGCGGGAUGACGGCCUUCGGGUUGUAAACCGCUUUCGCCUGUGACGAAGCGUGAGUGACGGUAAUGGGUAAAGAAGCACCGGCUAACUACGUG